GACGAACGCUGGCGGCGUGCUUAACACAUGCAAGUCGAACGGAGCGAAAUGGAAGCUUGCUUCUAUGGAGCUUAGUGGCGAACGGGUGAGUAACGCGUAAUCAACCUGCCCUUCAGAGGGGGACAACAGUUGGAAACGACUGCUAAUACCGCAUACGAUUCAACUUCGGCAUCGAGGAUGAAUGAAAGGUGGCCUCUAUUUAUAAGCUAUCGCUGAAGGAGGGGAUUGCGUCUGAUUAGCUAGUUGGAGGGGUAACGGCCCACCAAGGCGAUGAUCAGUAGCCGGCCUGAGAGGGUGAACGGCCACAUUGGGACUGAGACACGGCCCAA
Molecule: ribosomal RNA, 329 nt
Filed under: uncultured bacterium
Lineage: Bacteria
Description: bacterial SSU rRNA
Rfam family: Bacterial small subunit ribosomal RNA
Source: RNAcentral